GCUUUCCUUCACCAAGGAGUCUCUCUGUUGGUAAGCACAAUGGCUCAACCUGUGAGUCUCGCGCUGGCUGUUGGUCUUUUGUGUGCUGGGAUAUUUCACAUCUCAGGCAUCCCUGUAUUUCCCAAUACCAGGGAAAAUACAGUUUUCUGCAAAUAUACUGUUCAAAUGGAGCUGGAGAACAUUGUCUAUAACAGUUCUCUCCUGGAUCCUUCUUCAGACUACUAUAAGGAUGUAGCGUCAAAGGUUAUGGAUGUGAUGAAUCAAGUAUAUGCCUGCCCAGAUUGUCCUACCAAGUCCUUCUAUGAAGCUAAAAAUCCUACAUUUGAAUCAGAGCCUGGCACAUGGUCAUUUGUUCCCAUGACCUUCUACACUGAAGAGAUCAAUAGUGACGUGAUCCUUUAUCUCUUCUAUCAUGCCCAUCCUGUUACAUCCCUUAAGAUCUCGUACUUUGUAGUGGAAAGAGAUCCAGGAAAUUGUAUUGCAGUUGCUUAAUAUGAAUGAAAAAGAGUAAUUUAAGUUCCUGCAAAACCUGCUUUUACAUUAAAAAACUGUUUAAAGACAUGGCAUGUGAUUGAUCAAAACCACAUUUAAAACACAGGUAUGUCAUAUCUCACCUAAUGAUAAUAAAUGAAUAUGAAGACCUUA
Long non-coding RNA from Engraulis encrasicolus (European anchovy), 645 nucleotides. RefSeq lists it as uncharacterized. NCBI's taxonomy places the organism in Eukaryota, Metazoa, Chordata, Actinopteri, Clupeiformes, Engraulidae. The record is from RefSeq and is a predicted model, not a curated record. The transcript has 4 exons.